Non-coding RNA from Oryctolagus cuniculus (rabbit), 845 nucleotides. NCBI's taxonomy places the organism in Eukaryota, Metazoa, Chordata, Mammalia, Lagomorpha, Leporidae. The record is from RefSeq and is a predicted model, not a curated record.
UUGCCUCAGCACUGGCAACUGCAGGCAGGAUCAGAGGAAAAUAAUUGGAAAUCCAGAAUGUCAAAUUUGCUGAUGUUCAUUGCUCUUGUCUUCAAGACCACAGGAGUGGAAACAACUCUGGGGGUCCAACCGGAGCGUGUCUGGAUCCAGUGCUGCUUUCAGCAAAGUGCACGCUCCACUAUGCUAUACUCAUGAUCACUCAUUUUGGAGACAGACAGCUGCUGUGUUGGAAGCAGCCUCACAUGGUUAGGAACAGAAGCAUCCUGCCCACAGCCGAGUGAGCUGGGAGCAUCUCUCCAGCCCCAGUCAAGCCUCCGGAUGACUGCAGCCCUGGCUGACAGCUCAAGUGCAAUCUCAGGAGACCCUGAACCACCAGGCUAAGCUGAUUCUUGACCUUCAGAAAUGAGUGAGGUUGGGGACCCCCGAAGUCUGAAGAUUGGUAGAGCCUGCUAAGAAAGCACCCAGAAGCUGGCACUACUGGAAACAUACCCCAAUCGAGACUCACCCCAAUGUUCUAGCUCUCCUGAAGCCCUUCCUCCACCUUCCACCUUCUACAUUUUGACGCAGAAACAGAGCUUCACAGAGAGACGGAAAACUCAUCACUGGCAGUGACUCAGAUGCAGGGCUUCCGACUCCAAGUCCUGUAAUCUUCCCACGUCUGCAGGAGGCAUUCUAGCCCUCCUCGUCACCACGCAGGGAAAACGAGACAAUCUCGAUUUCAAAGCCUUUCAGGUAACAGGAUCACACACCUGUUUGUACAGGGGGUAGAACUUCCUCUUGUGGCUGCCUGGACCGGGUUCCUCCCCUUACCUGGACCUGAGGGGUGUCCAGAAAACGAUUAAAAA